Molecule: ribosomal RNA, 292 nt
Filed under: uncultured bacterium
Lineage: Bacteria
Description: partial 16S ribosomal RNA
Rfam family: Bacterial small subunit ribosomal RNA
Source: RNAcentral
GUGCCAGCAGCCGCGGUAAUACGUAGGGCGCAAGCGUUGUCCGGAUUUACUGGGUUUAAAGGGUGCGUAGGCGGAUUGUUAAGUCAGUGGUGAAAGAUUCGAGCUCAACUCGGAAACUGCCAUUGAUACUGAUGAUCUCGAAUACAGUUGAGGUAGGCGGAAUAUUACAUGUAGCGGUGAAAUGCUUAGAUAUGUAAUAGAACACCGAUUGCGAAGGCAGCUUGCUAAGCAAACAUUGACGCUGAGGCACGAAAGCGUGGGGAUCAAACAGGAUUAGAUACCCGAGUAGUCC